GGAGAGGUGUCCGAGUGGCCGAAGGAGCACGACUGGAAAUCGUGUGUGGGGAAACUCACCGAGGGUUCGACUCCCUCCUUCUCCG
This 85-nucleotide transfer RNA is filed under the name Candidatus Magnetovum chiemense. RNAcentral's name for it is "Candidatus Magnetoovum chiemensis tRNA". It matches the Rfam family "tRNA". Rfam says of the family: Transfer RNA (tRNA) molecules are approximately 80 nucleotides in length. Their secondary structure includes four short double-helical elements and three loops (D, anti-codon, and T loops). Lineage: Bacteria; Pseudomonadati; Nitrospirota; Nitrospiria; Nitrospirales; Nitrospiraceae. The record is from Rfam by way of RNAcentral.